UAUCCAAAUAGUUUAAUAAAAACGCCGGUUUGUGGGGCCGAAGAUGUAAAGAUUUACUUUGGGUAG
RNAcentral lists this transfer RNA (66 nucleotides) under Notostomus gibbosus. RNAcentral's name for it is "tRNA-His". Lineage: Eukaryota; Metazoa; Arthropoda; Malacostraca; Decapoda; Oplophoridae. The record is from RNAcentral.